RNAcentral lists this ribosomal RNA (1127 nucleotides) under Acanthobdella peledina. RNAcentral describes it as "16S ribosomal RNA". The stretch from base 478 to 1127 matches the Rfam family "Eukaryotic large subunit ribosomal RNA", at positions 1891 to 3089 of the family's 3401-position model. The record is from RNAcentral. Lineage: Eukaryota; Metazoa; Annelida; Clitellata; Acanthobdellida.
UUAUUUUAAAUAACAACACAUAAUACCAUAUAAAACCUUAUAGUACUGCAAAGAAAAUAAAAAUAAAUUAAAGUAGGCUCAAUCCCGUACCUUGUGCAUUAUGGAUCUACAAGAUUUAAAAUAAUUUUAACUACCCGAAUUCUUAUGAGCUGUACAUUUAUUGUUUAGAACCCAAAAAUUAAUGUUUCAUUAUUAUUUUUAAAUAAAUUUAUAGAGGCUACAUACCUAACGUAUAAGAAUAUACCUGGUCUCUCUCUAACAUUAUUUAUUAAACCUUAUAAUAUAUAAGUUUAAACUAUAGAAGAUAAUUUCUAUAAUAAACCCAUUUAAAUUAAAAAUUAUUAAUAAUAGACUUAAUAUCAGUCACUUCAAUAUAACUUCACCGUUACAUAUAAAUUAUAAAUAAAUAAAUAAGGUACAUAUAGAUAGAUUUUAAUUCAAACUAUUUAGAUUAAAAAAUUAUGUAAAUAUUAGUAUUAAUUAAUUAUUUAUAAAGGAACUCGGCAACAUUUAUUUCGACUGUUUAACAAAAACAUUUCUUUUAGAAAAAUAAUUAAAAGUAGUCCCUGCCCAAUGAAUUUUAAUGGCCGCGGUACCCUAACCGUGCAAAGGUAGCAUAAUAAAUUGCCUAUUAAUUGUAGGCUAGAAUGAACGGGUUAACGAAAUAAAAUCUGUCUCCAUAAAUAAAAUAAAAAUUAUCCUUUAAGUGAAGAGACUUAAAUAAUAUAGUGGGACAAGAAGACCCUACAGAGCUUUAUUAUAAAAUUAAAUAAAUUAUUUUUAUAAUUUGGUUGGGGCGACCAAGGAUCCAUAAAACAUCCUUUAUUAAUGAGAAUAAAACUUCAAAAUAAGAUCCUAAUAAGAUAAAAUGUAUAGUUACCUUAGGGAUAACAGGCUAAUUUAUUUAAAGAGCUCUUAUCUACAAAUAAGUUUGGCACCUCGAUGUUGGCUUAGGAAAACAUUUUAACGCAAAAGUUAAAUAUGUUAGUUUGUUCAACUAUUAAAUUCCUACAUGAGCUGAGUUCAGACCGACGAGAGUCAGGUUAGAUUCUAUCUACUAUCAAUAAAAUUAUUUAUAGUACGAAAGGACCUAAAUAAACUUAAUCUAAGAAUUACAAUAUAAAAUU